Orussus abietinus is the source of this 1064-nucleotide long non-coding RNA. RefSeq lists it as uncharacterized. NCBI's taxonomy places the organism in Eukaryota, Metazoa, Arthropoda, Insecta, Hymenoptera, Orussidae. The record is from RefSeq and is a predicted model, not a curated record. The transcript has 2 exons.
GUGUAUCAAGGAGCGGAAAACUGAUAGUGGGUUGAGAAGGAAGGCAGUGCAUCUAAGACUGGCACGUACACGAGGCGAGGGGAGGAGACGGGAAAGGGGUCGAAGAUUGCAGGCAGCGGAUUACGUUCAGCUGGUAACUCAGGGUGUAUCGCGAGCCAUGCGGAAGGAGAGCUAGAGCGAGCGAGAGAGGUGUAUAGAGGGUCAAGCGGGAGUGGGCGAGACGGAGCUAUGCGUGGCCCGAGUAGUGGAAAGAGGACGUCCCGGAUCAGACGCUCGAGACGUGAGCACAAAGGUGAAUUCGUUUGAUGGAAGAAACCGUCUUAACCGAUGAAAAUUUCAAGGCGACGUCUUCUUCAUCUUUCACUAUUCAGUUAGAUGCGCAUUUCACGCCAGCUUAGCUGUUUUUAAAUUUUAACGGAUUGAUGAACGUGGAUCCCCUAAAAAUAUGGCGACAUGGAUGAAGGAAGUUGCGCGCCAGCGAUGGACGCUCUAAAAGAAAUUCCCAUAAACCGUGGAAUGGGGAAAGGGAUUCGGAAACGUCUUCUUAACUCCGUUUUUUUACUUUUAGAUUUUCUUUUGGACGCGUAGACUCAGGAUGUCGUAAUUCGCUAGAUGGGAGUGGCCGCAAGGUGCCGCGUUCUUUUUCGAUUUCUCGGACGCAGGCGCCAGAGAAGGCUGCAGAAAUUAGAACCAUUACUAAUGGCGACGACAGAAAGCAACGAGCAUAAUUUGCGGGCUUGCUCGAGCCAUCGGCAAAGCGAAGUUUACGCCAUAAAAAGCGAGGUCCGGGAAACUUUUGCGGUACUCCGCCGGAGUUUUCGCGAAAAUCGAUGUCCACCGUUUGAGCCUCGUUCUGGGUCUCCUGGGAAAUGGGUGAAUAAAUAAAUCUCGGGACCGCUCCUCUCGGUGAACGAAAGGUCGGUCAUGUGCGAGCUACGAAUUAUUCCCAUGCAACUUCUAUGCCAUAUUCUCGCCAAGGGUAAACAGUUGACAACUGGAAGUAAAGUGUUCAAAAAGUUGGACUACUUAAACGCUGGUCCGAAUAAACCGUUUUAUUCGCUCUA